CUUCCUACUCGAAGGAGGAGGGAUUUUAGUCGGUAUGUGCUUCGGCCAAAUCCGACACUACCCCCAUUAAACGGGUGUCUUUUGAAGAUUUCCCCUCCUCGAGGAA
Non-coding RNA from Agrilus planipennis (emerald ash borer), 106 nucleotides. The record is from Rfam. NCBI's taxonomy places the organism in Eukaryota, Metazoa, Arthropoda, Insecta, Coleoptera, Buprestidae.